Ictalurus punctatus (channel catfish) is the source of this 1270-nucleotide long non-coding RNA. RefSeq lists it as uncharacterized. The transcript has 2 exons. The record is from RefSeq and is a predicted model, not a curated record. Lineage: Eukaryota; Metazoa; Chordata; Actinopteri; Siluriformes; Ictaluridae.
UUCACUUUCAUAAAAAAUAGUGUUGAUAAACAGGUCCUGCAUUGUGAUGGCUAACAAGGCAUCAUCCUCGUUCAUCCUCAUGAUCCGUGGUAAGUGAACUUUCCAAGCAAAGUGGGGUCUGUUCUCCUCCACCCACUCACAGGCAAGCAGAGUCUGUUUCAUCACCGCCGAGUCCUUUGUACAAAAAGAUAAGACAUUUCAAUAAACAUGUAAUUAGUCAAGUGCUGCUCAAACACUUUUAUGAAACAAGAAAGGUAAUCACAUAAACAAAUAGUAAUACAUUUCAUUAUUAUACAACAAUAUAUCUUCUGGAACAGUCACAUGUAAGCAGAAUACAAAGUUGAUCAUAAUGUAUUAUACCAUGGUCAGUCUCAAUACUGGAUUCUGAUUGGUUAGAAGGUGAUGUGCAUUAAGACACCACACUAUCUGGCACAGAUGGGGUGACCUCCAUGAGAUCUAGCACAGAUGGGGUGACGUCCAUGAUGCUGCCAAAGUUACUGCACAGGCAGUUCCAGAGAGCUUGCGUAGACAGAUACUGACAGUGUCUUCCCAAAGUUAAUGACAGAGUGUGUGUGUGUAUGUGUGUGUGUGUGUGUGUGUGUGUGUGUGGCAGGAUAAGUGAACUACCCUAUUGACCCUGCUUGGGGUAUGGCUUUGGCAGAUCAAUAAGGUCGGAGCUAUUCUAUUAUUUAAGGACCUUUAUUUUGGCAGGCGCAUAUGUGUAUUGGUGAUUCAGAGUUCCUCGCCCCCUGGCAUUUCCGGUUCAGUUUCAGUUCCCGGUUCAGUUCCCGGUUCAGUUCAGGAGCUGUUGAACUGCCUCUAUUUCAUGUGGUGGUGUCAGUGGGCCUGAGUGUUCUAGCCACCACAUCACAGUGUCUGUAAUAUUUUAGUUUUUCUUUCUUUGCUUAUUGUUUAGUGUAUUGUGUAAUUCUGGGUUAAUUGGUGUUUUUCUUUCUCUCCAGGAGCCAGUGAGUCUUGGUGGACAGGGGAAGCUAGCUGCCUUCAUUCGGUGGUGUGUGCUUCACAGCGUGCUCAGUGUCCCGGCACAACAACUUCCUUGUGGUGUAGGUACUGUUAAUGAUUUGGUUUUAAUUAAGGUGGGUUUGGAUGACCUCCCAGGAAGUAGCUGGCCUGCGUUGUUCCCACCAAGCCUGGGCCUGGAGAAUUGCUUAGUUUUAAAAUUCUUAUUGUGCUUCAUGGGAGGGUGACUUUAUAUUUAUAAGUUUUAAUGAUGCUUAAGUGUGAUAAUAAAAUGUAGCUUUUAUUGAUA